UACGUAGGGUGCAAGCGUUGUCCGGAAUUAUUGGGCGUAAAGAGCGUGUAGGCGGUCCGGUAAGUCGGGCUGUGAAAGUCCAGGGCUCAACCCUGGGAUGCCCGGUCGAUACUGCCGGACUAGAGUUCGGAAGAGGCGAGUGGAAUUCCCGGUGUAGCGGUGAAAUGCGCAGAUAUCGGGGAGGAACACCCUAUGGGCGAA
Molecule: ribosomal RNA, 201 nt
Filed under: uncultured bacterium
Lineage: Bacteria
Description: partial 16S ribosomal RNA
Rfam family: Bacterial small subunit ribosomal RNA
Source: RNAcentral